Molecule: long non-coding RNA, 146 nt
Organism: Priapulus caudatus
Lineage: Eukaryota; Metazoa; Priapulida; Priapulimorpha; Priapulimorphida; Priapulidae
Exons: 3
Source: RefSeq, a predicted model, not a curated record
UGGUUAGGAGUUAGGGUUAGGGUUAGGAUUCAGGCUUACGGUUAGCGGUUAGGGAUAGGCGUAAGCGACUCACUAAACUCGUUAGUGGAGUAGGCGAGGUACCGGUCCGGCAUAAUAACUAUAGUACCGCCAAGGGACUCCGGACU